ACCGCAGACCGCCUUAUCGCUCCAAUUCGUUGGGGAGGAAAGUCCGGACACCACAGAGCAGCAUAGCGGGUAACGCCCGUCACCUUGAGCAAUCAGGGGAGGACAAGUGCAACAGAAAGGAUGUACAGGUAAUGCUGUAGUGAAAUCAGGUAAACUCUAUGCGGUGAAAUGCCAUGUAUAUCAGCAGUUAAGGGCGGCUCGUCCGUUGCUGAGGGGUAGGCAGAUAGAACCUGUGAGCAAUUGCAGGUCCAGAUAAAUGAUAAGGGCUGACUUCGGUUGGUACAGAAUCCGGCUUACAGGUCUGCAUUUUUU
RNAcentral lists this RNase P RNA (312 nucleotides) under Flavobacterium suncheonense GH29-5 = DSM 17707. RNAcentral's name for it is "bacterial RNase P". It matches the Rfam family "Bacterial RNase P class A". From Rfam's summary of the family: Ribonuclease P (RNase P) is a ubiquitous endoribonuclease, found in archaea, bacteria and eukarya as well as chloroplasts and mitochondria. Lineage: Bacteria; Pseudomonadati; Bacteroidota; Flavobacteriia; Flavobacteriales; Flavobacteriaceae. The record is from RNAcentral.